RNAcentral lists this ribosomal RNA (459 nucleotides) under Depanisca sulcata. Its description in RNAcentral is "partial large subunit ribosomal RNA". Lineage: Eukaryota; Metazoa; Arthropoda; Insecta; Hemiptera; Cicadellidae. The record is from RNAcentral.
UAGUUGGUUAAUUAAAAGUAAGUUCUGCCCUAUGAUAAUUUAAAUGGCUGCAGUAUAUUGACUGUGCAAAGGUAGCAUAAUAAUUAGUCUUUUAAUUGGAGGCUUGUAUGAAUGAAUACAUGAGAUGUUUAUUUUAUUAUUUUUAUAAUUACAAUUUAAUUUUUAAGUAAAAAAGCUUAAUUAGGUUUUAGGGACGAGAAGACCCUAUAGAAUUUUAAUAUUUUAAUUAAGGUUUUUUUUAGGUUAAUAUUUAAUUUUUUUAAUUUUAAUAUUUUUGUUGGGGUGACAAAUAAAUGUAAGCUUUAUUUUUUAAGUUCAUGCUUAAUGUGUUUUUGAUCCAUUUAUUAUGAUUAUAAGAUUAAAUUACCUUAGGGAUAACAGCGUAAUUUUUAUGGGGAGUUCAUAUUUAUAUAGAAGUUUGCGACCUCGAUGUUGAAUUAAGAUAAGAUUUUGGAGCAG